CACUGUGCGUGUGUGUGGUCAAUCUCACAAGGCAGAGGGAAAGGGGUAAACCCUAAUUCUCAAGAAAUCUCCAAAUUGAAAAGGGAAUUGAAGGUUUUUAGGAUGCAUGUAUCAAGAUUAUCGAUCUCCUAAGUGUUCUUCACUAUCAAGAACGUGUCAAGGAGAGGUCAAGCAUAGGAGGAUAACGGGUCAAGAUAAGGCAAGGUGACAAAUACACUUAAUGGAGUACUCGAGGUAAGUGAAUUUCGAUUCACUUUUUAGUAGGUUUAAUAGAUUUUAAUACUUAUGUUUACGAAACAUCAUGAAAGAACAUGUAAUAAUCAGAAGUACAAAGCCAAUAAUGCCUCAUUAUUGAGGAAGGUUGUAUUAAGCCGAAAGUAAAUUGGUGGGUUUAAACGGGUCGACUUUUAUGUGCAUAUGUUGCGUAAUGUAAUGAAAUUCGUUAUGGUUAAGACCUUGGGUAGGAAUUUUUAGUCAUUAUGUAAGGGGAACACUUCCCGGACCAUUAGGAACAAGUUUUAUAUGAUUCGGUUGUCGGUUAGUUAAUGAACGGAUUGUUUCAUGUUAGUGUAGGAAAUUUUAUAAGUAUAUGUGUAUAGGAACCCAAAGGGCACGUGGGUUGAAUCAUAGAUUGUUUAUACUAUGUAAAGUUGUGAAUGUGACAUUCCGGCAUAAACCUACAUGUAAAAGAAGCUUGUGUAUAUAUUCGUGAUUAAUUGAUUGUGCGUAGGAAGGAACAUUGGCAUGUAUGAAGGUACGCAUGUAUAUGUAAGUGUGUAUAUAUAUAUAUAUAUGUAUGUAUAUAUGAUAAUAAGUACGUAGGUGUGAAUGUAUGUGUGAAUGAAUGUUCAAUGCUUAAGACAUAUGCAUGAACGUUAUCAAAGUGUUCGAGUAUUUAUGGUUACUAAUGAUGUGCGUUGAGUUGGAAUGUAAUGUAGGUAUGGGAUCGUUGGCUUCAUGAAGAAAUGGGCUGGAUUUGGAUAAGAGUAUUUAAGAAAGCGCUUGGACAAUUCCACGACUACUUUAUAGAAUGCUCUACGAAAUUCUAUUAUAUAGUUUAAUGUUGUAUGGUAUGUUAAUGACUAAUGGUUUGGUUGUACGUGGUGUCCACAGGUAUCGCUUGGGUUUUCUCUACAUUUAUUGAAGUGAAGCGGACUUAGUUCGAGUUGAGAGCAAGGAUUGUACGGGGUAGAAUGGUCACAUAGUGUAACUCAUAUAGAUUUUGAAGUAUUUGAACCUUCAUGUGUUUGAUAUGUCUAUUAAAGAACGAAAUUUUUGGGCUCUUGUUUUCCGUUGCGUCGUAUUUUAAGUUAUUAUACGUUAGUCUUACAGGGAAUUGUUCUUAUUACGAACGGGUCAUGCCCGAAUUUUGUUAAAUAAUAGUAUGAUAAUAUUACAUUUUGGAAUGUGUAAUUUGGGCGUUACAAGUUGGUAUCAGAGCCCUGGUUUGAGGGAAAUCAAGUAUGAGGAGGCAAAUACUUGAACUCAAACCUGUGUGCUCUUGUGACGAGAAACCCGUACAAUCCAAGACUCGAUCAAGAUCUAAAGGUAGAAGCAAAUGUAAGUAUGAAUUUAAGUAUGUUUAUUAAGAAACUAACAUUAUGUUGUGUGUAAGAUAAGCAUAGUUGUUUGGAUGAGGAUGAUCCACGACUGUGGUCUCGGACUGACACCAAGGCAUGUAAUAAGACCAUUGCCCAGGUACGUAAAUUUUGCAUAAGGGUGCAUGUAAUGCUAAAAGUUAUCGAGUGAAGGAAAAUUUUAAUGAAAUAUAAUAAUAUAAUGGAAACGAAGUUAUGAAAAUGUUACACGUGCCGAAACCUAAUUCUUCGGACAUAAGGUGACGAUUACACGAAGACACGAAACUAGUAUGUGGAUUGUGUCCCUGGCCAGUACACAAGAAACAUAAGACGUUCGUGAGACCGUAAUGAUUGUUACAGGUAUGUCCGAUAGGAUUUGGUAGCGGCUGGGUGUGUGGGUGAAAUGGGUAGUAAGACUCUCGGGAGGUUGAGAGUACUAUGUAAGGGUGAAAAGUAUAAGUGAUAAGAAUGAAAUAUUGAGUCCAUAAGAAAGUAUGGAUUGACAAUGUAUGAAUGCAAUGUUUGAAUCCGCGAGACGGAUUCAAGGAUGAAAGGUAUGAAUGCAAUGUUUGAAUCCGCGAGACGGAUUCAAGGAUGAAAGAUAUGAAUGCAAUGCUUGAGUCCGCGAGACGGAUUCAAGGAUGAAAGAUGUGAAUGCAAUGCUUGAAUCCGCGAAACGGAUUCAAAGAAUGAAAGAUACGAAUGAUGCAAAUCCCUUGCGGAUUUGAUUAUGCUAAAGAAGGUUAUGAUAAGCUAUGCAAAUCGACCGGUUCAAGUUGAACAAGUCGAGUAAGGAUAGGGUACCAUCCGUUUAGAACGGGUGGUCGUGAAUGCAAUAAUAAAUGUAUGAAGUUCAACCCGUUAUACGGACAGAACGAAAUAUUUAUGUUGAACACAAUUAACUCGAUUUUACCGAGGCGUAAGUGGUAUGCUUGAAUCUCAUUAUGAGAAUAUAUGCCAUUACCCAUUUAAUUAGAUACUCGAAUGCGUAAAAGAAAUGAAAGUAUAUAAGCGAAUGGAACUAAAAUGUUGGUGUUGUAAGCGAAAUAAGUAUUAUGACUAACCUUUAAAACGGGAAGGGUAAAAAUUUGCAAGAAAACACUGGAACAGUGAAGCUAUGAGGUCGUAAGCAUGUUUGAAUUGAAAAAGAGUACAAACGUGUACUUCGAUACGCAUGUAUAUAAUAAGAAAUAAGUGGCAGUUGACCUUGAAAAGUCAAACUGCAGAAGCUGAGAAAUAAUUUGGUUUCAAACCAAGGGAGUGCUAGAGAAGAAAGGAAAUGUGUAGUGUAGUACACCAAAUGAGUUAAAGAAUUACGAAAUAAUGAUUAUGUAUUUACCCGUCACGAACGGGUCAAACAAUGAGAAUGAUAUAUAUAUAUAUAUAUAUUAAGAAAUGGUCAUGUAUUGACCCGUUAUGAAUAAGCUUAACACACUAGUGCUUUAAAAAGAAUCUUGGAAGUAGUAAUAUGUAAACAAGGAGAAGUAAUAAACAUCAUGUUUAAAUGAACUUGAAUGAAAUGUGAUAAUCCCCAAUUUUAUAAUGAGUGAUAGUGUGAUAAACCUAUCUAGGUCAGUGAAAGAAUGUUCAUAAGCGAAAGCUCGUCACACGGAUAAACGAGGUCGAUACGAAACAUGGUAUGGAUGGGGACGAAGAGGACCGACUCGUUGCUACAUGUUCAAGUACUGCACCAAGGUAGUAAGGUUAGCAAAUUAUUUAAUAUAUGAAGGUACGAUGCUCGAAUCCCUCAAACCUACGCUCUCGUGAAAGUGUGUUCGUUUCUAAGCGCCACGCAAGUAAGUGAUUUAAGGAUUUCGAGCUAUGCUUUUAGAUGAAAACGGAAAUGGGUUAUGGAUAAAUUACUAUUAUAACCUGGGUUGGGACGUUAUGGGAUGUUAGGGAAGGUUUCGGGACUGCCCGAGACCAUUUCUGGUUGGAAAAAAAAAGAGACCCGGGAACAAAAAAUUUUUGGUCAAACAGCGUCUGCACACCAGAGAGCCCGUCGGCGACGGCCUUUAUGCCGUCGGCGACGGCACCCCUCCACCUGACACGCUAACUGCCUGUCUACGGGCAAUGUUUAGCGACGGGACCUUCCCGAGCCCGUCGGCGACGCACCAUGUGCCGUCGGCGACGGGUCCCCCUUAUCUGCUUAUGCUGAAAUUGUUUGUUUAUUAGGCUAAGGUCCUUAAUUCAGUUCUAGCAUUCAUUAAACACUAAGAACACCCCAGAUUGAUUAUGAAGCUAGGAAAUUCAAGACAACUAUCGUGUUUUAAUGAUGAAUGUGUGGGAAGUUAUGUAUGCGAACGAAUGAAAUAAGUAACACAUCUAGAAUGUUUGUAAAGAAAGAUUGGGUAAGUUUAUAAAAAUUUUACGCUAUCAUUGAGAAAGUACCUCCAUAUGAAUAAGUACGAUAUGUUAAAUGUGUACGAAUGAACGAGAUUGAAUGCGGAAAUGAAUAAAAUAAUGAUGACUAGGGAUUGGUUUUCGCAAAGAAGUUUGAAAUCUUGAUAAGUAUGAAUAAUAUGUCAGGAUGCUAGUUUCAAAUUAUGGACUAUGGGAUCUGUGAUUAGGCAAUUUCUCACAACAUGCUUAUGUAAGUCGUCCAAUGUCACUUGAAUGAAUGAACGAACGAAGAAUAAAACUAGAUGGGUUAUAGAAGAAAUGAAAGAGGUUUCGGGGACGAAACCUUCUUUAAGGGGGAUAGAUUUGUAACACCCCAAAACUCGAAUUAUUAAAUUCGUUAGUAGGUUACCUUGGGUAAUUAGAUGAAGUACAACAACUAAGUUAUUAAACUUAGUUAAAUGUCUAAUAAAUAAGUAAAGGAAUGAACUUUGUGGCAACUAUGAUGAUGUGUUAGAGUUGAGGGACCUAGAUUGCCAUAAUGUAAACUAAA
This 4470-nucleotide long non-coding RNA is filed under the name Helianthus annuus (common sunflower). RNAcentral's name for it is "sRNA HanXRQr2_Chr10g0427471". The record is from RNAcentral. Lineage: Eukaryota; Viridiplantae; Streptophyta; Magnoliopsida; Asterales; Asteraceae.